CUACGGGAUGCUGCAGUGAGGAAUUUUGCGCAAUGGGGGAAACCCUGACGCAGCAACGCCGCGUGAGCGAAGAAGGCCCUCGGGUCGUAAAGCUCUGUCAAGUGGGAAAAAAAUCUUUUGAUCAAUAGUCAAAAGACUUGAUGGUACCACUGGAGGAAGCACCGGCUAAGUCCGUGCCAGCAGCCGCGGUAAUACGGAGGGUGCAAGCGUUGUUCGGAUUUACUGGGCGUAAAGAGCGUGUAGGCGGUUUAGCAAGUCAGAUGUGAAAGCCCUGGGCUCAACCCGGGAAGUGCAUUUGAAACUGCUUCACUAGAGUAUGGGAGAGGAGAUUGGAAUUCCUGGUGUAGAGGUGAAAUUCGUAGAUAUCAGGAGGAACACCCGUGGCGAAGGCGAUUCUCUGGACCAAUACUGACGCUGAGACGCGAAAGCGUGGGGAGCAAACAGGAUUAGAUACCCCCGUAGUC
RNAcentral lists this ribosomal RNA (464 nucleotides) under uncultured bacterium. Its description in RNAcentral is "partial 16S ribosomal RNA". It matches the Rfam family "Bacterial small subunit ribosomal RNA", at positions 339 to 795 of the family's 1533-position model. The record is from RNAcentral.